Molecule: transfer RNA, 87 nt
Filed under: Deltaproteobacteria bacterium
Lineage: Bacteria; Pseudomonadati; Myxococcota; Myxococcia
Also listed under: 1 other name
Description: tRNA-Ser
Rfam family: tRNA
About the family: Transfer RNA (tRNA) molecules are approximately 80 nucleotides in length. Their secondary structure includes four short double-helical elements and three loops (D, anti-codon, and T loops). Further hydrogen bonds mediate the characteristic L-shaped molecular structure. tRNAs have two regions of fundamental functional importance: the anti-codon, which is responsible for specific mRNA codon recognition, and the 3' end, to which the tRNAs corresponding amino acid is attached (by aminoacyl-tRNA synthetases). tRNAs cope with the degeneracy of the genetic code in two manners: having more than one tRNA (with a specific anti-codon) for a particular amino acid; and 'wobble' base-pairing, i.e. permitting non-standard base-pairing at the 3rd anti-codon position.
Source: RNAcentral
GGAGAGGUGACCGAGUGGCGAAGGAGCCUGUUUGGAACACAGGUGGGCAUAAAUGCCUCGCGGGUUCGAAUCCCGUCCUCUCCGCAA